This 786-nucleotide unclassified non-coding RNA is filed under the name Hevea brasiliensis (rubber tree). Lineage: Eukaryota; Viridiplantae; Streptophyta; Magnoliopsida; Malpighiales; Euphorbiaceae. The record is from RNAcentral.
UGCCAGAGAUGGGAUGCAAGAAAAGGACUGGUUGUCUCUUGUUGCUGUUCACAGCGAUGCAUGGUUACUUGCUGUGGCCUUCUAUUUUGGAGCUAGGUUUGGAUUUGACAAAGCUGAUAGGAAACGCCUUUUCAACAUGAUAAAUGAGCUUCCAACAAUAUUUGAGGUUGUGACAGGAACAGGCAAGAAACAAGUAAAAGAGAAGUCCUCAGUUUCAAAUCAUAGCAGCAAUAAAUCCAAAUCAAAUUCUAAGAGGGGAUCUGAAUCUCAGGGCAAGUAUUCAAAGGCAAUGCAGUCGAAGGAUGAGGAUGAUGAGGGCAUUGAAGAAGAGGAAGAAGAGGAGCAUGGGGAGACAUUAUGCGGUGCUUGUGGAGAAAAUUAUGCAUCUGAUGAAUUCUGGAUUUGCUGUGACAUUUGUGAGAAGUGGUUCCAUGGGAAGUGUGUUAAGAUCACUCCAGCUAGAGCCGAGCACAUUAAGCAGUACAAAUGCCCUUCUUGCAGCAACAAGAGAGCUCGACCUUGAUGAAGGCAAGGAGCAGAUCUGUGUAUUAUGGCAUGAUGGAACUGCUUAGUAGGUCUGGUUUGUUUGUAGUCAUGGCUCUUCCUUAAUCUAGGAAAUCUAUUCAAAUAUGUGUAGGUUGCAAAUGUGCUGUCUAUUUGGUCAUAAAAUUAGGAUAUUUAUGAACUCAGGUCGGGAAUUAUUGCCCCCAUGACUGGGAGAAAGGUUUGUUUUAUGUUUGUCGACUUGUGUUUAUGUGCAAUCUGUCCAGUCCAGUUCUUCAUGAA